AGCUCCAAUAGCGUAUAUUAAAGUUGUUGCAGUUAAAAAGCUCGAAGUUGGAUCUCGGGAGCCAGUGGGCGGUUCACCUUGCAGUGACUACUGCCCGCUGCGACCCUACCUGCUGGUCCACCAUGUGUGCCCUUGGUUGGUUGCAUGCGGAGGCCGGGACGUUAACUUUGAAAAAUGAGAGUGCUCAAAGCAGGCGUCUCGCCUGAAUAAUGCUGCAUGGAAUAAUGAAAUAGGACUUCGGUUCUAUUUUGUUGGUUUUCUGAACCAGAGGUAAUGAUUAAGAGGGACAGACGGGGCAUUUGUUUAACGGCGUUAGAGGUGAAAUUCAUUGAUCGCCGUAAAACGAAAGACUGCAAAAGCAUUUGCCAAGAAUGUUUUCA
RNAcentral lists this ribosomal RNA (380 nucleotides) under marine Metazoa environmental sample. Its description in RNAcentral is "SSU rRNA". It matches the Rfam family "Eukaryotic small subunit ribosomal RNA", at positions 587 to 972 of the family's 1831-position model. Lineage: Eukaryota; Metazoa. The record is from RNAcentral.